GAUUUCCGAAUGGGGAAACCCAAUACGAGUUAUGUCGUAUUAUCGAUACGUAAAUACAUAGCGUAUCGAAGGUAGACGCGGAGAACUGAAACAUCUUAGUACCCGCAGGAAGAGAAAGAAAAAUCGAGUCCCUGAGUAGCGGCGAGCGAAACGGGAAUAGCCCAAACCAACGAGCUUGCUUGUUGGGGUUGUAGGACACUCUAUACGGAGUUACAAAGGAAUAGAUUAGACGAA
RNAcentral lists this ribosomal RNA (234 nucleotides) under Staphylococcus cohnii. RNAcentral describes it as "partial 23S ribosomal RNA". It matches the Rfam family "Bacterial large subunit ribosomal RNA", at positions 109 to 337 of the family's 2925-position model. Lineage: Bacteria; Bacillati; Bacillota; Bacilli; Caryophanales; Staphylococcaceae. The record is from RNAcentral.